UGCAAACAGCUAUAAACAUUUAAGACUCCAGUGACCACAUCAAAUGUGCACUGGGAAAAAAAAAUGAAAGAUGUGCCACAGGUCUGCAGUCAGCCCAGCUUUCUCCCUGACACCAGGGACAUCCUGAACUUUACAGGGGAAAGCCCCCGCUGUCUGCACACUCAGCACUGUGCCGUGCGUGGGCGUUCGGGCCUGCGGAUACACACAGGAGGGAGCAUUUACCGAGCAUCAGACUCUGCUCUCCAGUCCUCAGUCACACCGAGGAGUGUGGCCCUCCCCCUCCUGAGGACACAGAGGCUCAGAGAGGUUCGGCAACCUGUCCAAGGACGCCCAGCAGCAGGCGGCAGGAGGGUGGCCACCUGCCCCCGUCACCAGAACUGAAAGACAGCAGUGGGAAGAGAGCGCCCACUUGUUCACCGCCCCUCCCCCAGCUGAGCUUUGCGGGAGCCCGACCCUGUCCCAUCACUGGAUGCGUGAUGUAUGACACAAGGAAGAGCUUCUGAGCGGCUGGCAGCACCUCUGCUCUGCGCCUGCGCCUGUCAUCUGUGUGGCCGUGGGCUAGAUAUCACAGCACAGCCAGGGGAGGGCAGUCUGGACAAGUGACCGGCAGCCAGCUUCCUCUGCCUGGUCUCACUGUUAAAGCCGCCGCACCAGAUGUGACUCUGGAGGAAAAUCCUAACAAACACAUUUCCAGUCUUCUGAGAGCCUGGUCUCCUAGUUGCUGGGUAUGAAUAGCCCUCAGCCCACUCCCACCAACUCUCCUCAGACACUGUCCGCCCACCCUCAGGCCACACCCCUGCUGCCAUCCUUGGCUGCUCCAGGUACAGGAUGGGGGCCAGCGGCUCUGGCCUUGGGGACAGUGAGUCUGAUAUGUUCAUUGAGGUGACUGGGCCGGUCAAGAAGACUGUCCUUAGACAGGGGCCUGGGCAGUUCUGUCCUGCAAGAGAAGGGCAGGUCCCUACUGUGUCUGUAGACACUAAGCCAGCCACCAGCCCGCUCAGCCCUAGCUCACACAUCUGGACCGGGGCAGCUGUUCUUUUCUGUAAAGGGCCACAUGGUAAAUAUGUUACUGUCGCUUAGUCUUGCUCUGCAGCUUCUUCUUCUUCUUUACAUAUGUAUAAUCCUUUAAAGAUGCAGGGUUGAAGACUAGUCUCAGGUCACUUGUCAGACAUGGCUGUGGGCCAAAGUUUGCAGCCCUUGGACUGGGCAGUGGGGUGAAAACA
Molecule: long non-coding RNA, 1223 nt
Organism: Bos indicus x Bos taurus (hybrid cattle)
Lineage: Eukaryota; Metazoa; Chordata; Mammalia; Artiodactyla; Bovidae
Source: Ensembl